GGCAGUUGGAGAACGAGUGAGCCGGUCAGGGAGUCGGCUCGCCAGGCUAGGCUGUGAAGGGGCAAAGGCUCAAAUCCCUGGUACCUUCUUUUCUGUGUCCUCCUGCUCUGCCUGGUAAAGACUGAUUUAGCAGAUGUACCUGAAGAAGACAAGAAGAAAGGCAGUAAAAUAACAAGACAGGACAGUUUCUGAUUGGGUGAUGAAGUAAGACAUACAAAAAUCCUCUACUCAGCCCGGGAGUCAACUCAACUAACAGCUGCUUUCAUGAGUUGAGACCAUCGCCAUUGAGUCACUCUGGCUCCGCUGGCCCUCCAGAUGUGUUUGUGGGAGCCAGACUACUGUUCAUCCAUUGUGCCUGAUGAGUCUGCUUCCUACUGCGACAAGGCAAGGUGUCAUGUAUCUGCUUCUGUGGCGAGUCUCCUAGAAGUCCAGAAACAGGAGCUCAUGACUGUCAAUCCCGUCUCUCCUGCUACAAAUCUCCAUUCAAGAGCAGUGUGUCUGUCUGUGUGGGCCAUAGAGAACAAAGUGGGAAAUUGGGAGUAGAGUGAUGGGAUACCCUGAGGUCUCUGAGGCAGGUCUUAGAGGAGCCCAUUGUGGAAAGAAAAAAGAUGGUGUGAUAUAGUAUAGCCACAAAAUUACAGGUGGAAAAGUCCUAUAGGGUCCCAUCUUGUCUAGCCCACUAAAGCCAAAUUUUACACUCUUUUACUUCAGUGUAAAUCUAGAGUAAAGCCAUCAUUUUUAUUGGUGUUAUUCUAGAUUUGCAUGGUGAAACAGAACAGAAUUUGGUCCCUACACUCUAUUUGAUAGUAUAGUAUUAGGUGUCCAAAGUGAGAGGGCUUCCAUCUCUUCAUUUGGUAGACUACACUACAAUCUAAGUAAAAUCUAUGAAACUGCAACGCUUUUCUUCUUUCUACACUGCACCUUUACAUUUCUAAGAAUGCCGCCACUGGGCAGAGUCAGCAACCAGUUUGUUCUCAGAGGCAGCCUGUUCUGGAGGAGAUACAUGCACUCUGAGCUUUUCUGAAGACUUGACAUUAGUUCUGUCUUGUUUUCUUAAUCUAAAAUCAUUCAG
Long non-coding RNA from Mauremys mutica (yellowpond turtle), 1072 nucleotides. RefSeq lists it as uncharacterized. NCBI's taxonomy places the organism in Eukaryota, Metazoa, Chordata, Testudines, Geoemydidae. The record is from RefSeq and is a predicted model, not a curated record. The transcript is spliced from 3 exons.